RNAcentral lists this ribosomal RNA (429 nucleotides) under Chloroflexota bacterium. Its description in RNAcentral is "Chloroflexi bacterium partial 16S ribosomal RNA". It matches the Rfam family "Bacterial small subunit ribosomal RNA", at positions 355 to 776 of the family's 1533-position model. Lineage: Bacteria; Bacillati; Chloroflexota. The record is from RNAcentral.
UGGGGAAUAUUGCACAAUGGGCGCAAGCCUGAUGCAGCCAUGCCGCGUGUAUGAAGAAGGCCUUCGGGUUGUAAAGUACUUUCAGCGGGGAGGAAGGGAGUAAAGUUAAUACCUUUGCUCAUUGACGUUACCCGCAGAAGAAGCACCGGCUAACUCCGUGCCAGCAGCCGCGGUAAUACGGAGGGUGCAAGCGUUAAUCGGAAUUACUGGGCGUAAAGCGCACGCAGGCGGUUUGUUAAGUCAGAUGUGAAAUCCCCGGGCUCAACCUGGGAACUGCCUCUGAUACUGGCAAGCUUGAGUCUCGUAGAGGGGGGUAGAAUUCCAGGUGUAGCGGUGAAAUGCGUAGAGAUCUGGAGGAAUACCGGUGGCGAAGGCGGCCACCUGGACGAAGACUGACGCUCAGGUGCGAAAGCGUGGGGAGCAAACAGG